Molecule: long non-coding RNA, 816 nt
Filed under: Olea europaea subsp. europaea
Lineage: Eukaryota; Viridiplantae; Streptophyta; Magnoliopsida; Lamiales; Oleaceae
Source: RNAcentral
AAUCUAUGUGUUGUGUAUAGUAGUUACAAUUCAAUUCACUUAAUUUUCUGUUAUUAUUCUUUAUUUCAUUAUCCCCUGUACAAUGUGUUACCAUUUGAAUUUUUGCAGGAUGGAUUACCAUCUAAAAGCGUUGUUGAGGCAGAUGCGGGGAAAGCUACUUGGAAUAGCAGCUUUGACAGUUUCACUAUCAUAUUAGAACUACUGGAUGAUCAGCACGCAGAUAUUCUUCGACACUUCUUCCUCUGGCCCCUGUAUCAGAUAAGGAAGGUGCAUUACUUUGGGCAGAUCAUUGAUGUAUUAUUAUGUCAGUCCUUGUUAGAGUUUGCUCUAUUGAUCGGACUAAAGAUUGCGAGCGAUGAAACAACUCGUGAAGGUACUCAGAGAAGCAACAUAUUGCACGAUGCUUAUUUCCAAGGACAAGGAAUGAUGCUUCUAUCGCAGCUGAUCAGAGCAAUCAAGGGGUGUGAUAAGAUGUUGAACAGACAGAAGCUAGGACUAGUCUACAUCCUUGAGAACGUGGUACAGUGUCAUCAUAAGAAGACUGUGAUCGACAUUUUCCAUCUAGAGAUGGUCAACAACAUCAAUGCAUAUGAGACUAUCUUCCUAUUAGAUACCCGUGAGGCGAGGAGAGACACGCUGCCCUCGAUGCAUCAUUGGCGAGCAUCCCGAGCAGAAGGAUGUUUGUCUGAAAAAAUAAUUAUCGGUUCUUCUCAGUAUUCUACAUUUGUAUUUUAUAUUGUACAUAGUUUAAAAUCUUGUUACAUGAUCAUUAACUAGUUGAAAUUUCAACAAAAAUAAAUUGAAAUGAAUCAUUUA